AAGCGGCGGAGCAUGCGGAUUAAUUCGAUGCAACGCGAAGAACCUUACCAAGGCUUGACAUAUACGAGAACGGGCCAGAAAUGGUCAACUCUUUGGACACUCGUAAACAGGUGGUGCAUGGUUGUCGUCAGCUCGUGUCGUGAGAUGUUGGGUUAAGUCCCGCAACGAGCGCAACCCUCGUUCUAUGUUGCCAGCACGUAAUGGUGGGAACUCAUGGGAUACUGCCGGGGUCAA
RNAcentral lists this ribosomal RNA (234 nucleotides) under uncultured bacterium. RNAcentral's name for it is "partial 16S ribosomal RNA". It matches the Rfam family "Bacterial small subunit ribosomal RNA", at positions 927 to 1161 of the family's 1533-position model. The record is from RNAcentral.